CACGUAGUUAGCCGGUGCUUCUUCUCCACGGUACCGUCACCCACCAGGUGGGCUUCGUCCCGGGCGAAAGGAGUUUACAACCCGAAGGCCUUCAUCCCCCACGCGGCGUCGCUGCAUCAGGCUUGCGCCCAUUGUGCAAUAUUCCCCACUGCUGCCUCCCGUAGGAGUCUGGGCCGUGUCUCAGUCCCAAUGUGGCCGUCCACCCUCUCAGGCCGGCUACCCGUCGCCGCCUUGGUAGGCCAUUACCCCACCAACAAGCUGAUAGGCCGCGGGCUCAUCCCACACCGCAAAAGCUUUCCACCAUGACCCCUACGCCAUGGUCGUAUGUGGUAUUAGACCCAGUUUCCCAGGCUUAUCCCACAGUGCGGGGCAGAUCACCCACGUGUUACUCACCCGUUCGCCACUCGAGUACCCACCACCAAGGUGGCGGGCCUUUCCGUUCGACUUGCAUGUGUUAAGCACGCCGCCAGCGUUCGUCCUGAGCCAGGAUCAAACUCU
Molecule: ribosomal RNA, 498 nt
Filed under: uncultured Corynebacterium sp.
Lineage: Bacteria; Bacillati; Actinomycetota; Actinomycetes; Mycobacteriales; Corynebacteriaceae
Description: partial 16S ribosomal RNA
Source: RNAcentral